GUACACACCGCCCGUCGCUACUACCGAUUGAAUGGUUUAGUGAGGUCUCGGGACUAGCGCUCCUGAGGUGGCAACACCUUAUUUGCGCUGGGAACUUGAACAAACUUGAUCAUUUAGGGGAAGUAAAAGUCGUAACAAGGUUUCCGUAGGUGAACCUGCAGAAGGAUCA
RNAcentral lists this ribosomal RNA (169 nucleotides) under uncultured eukaryote. RNAcentral describes it as "partial small subunit ribosomal RNA". It matches the Rfam family "Eukaryotic small subunit ribosomal RNA", at positions 1662 to 1828 of the family's 1831-position model. The record is from RNAcentral.